This 791-nucleotide long non-coding RNA is filed under the name Glycine max (soybean). RNAcentral's name for it is "long non-coding RNA (GMAX_LNC004492)". Lineage: Eukaryota; Viridiplantae; Streptophyta; Magnoliopsida; Fabales; Fabaceae. The record is from RNAcentral.
AAAGAAACUAAUAAAAUGGAAUGAGAUACGUAUCCUUACCGUCGUUUGUAGAUGUCAAAUGAAUAUGUGCCAAAGAUUCUGUUAUGAACGCUAUGAAGGACCAAGAUAAGAGACACCACAAUUGCAACUCACACCAGCAGAGGCAAAUCACAGAAACCACAGAUACGAAUCACAGGCAAAGGAGGGUGGUGAACAAACCUCAAUAUCUGAAGGAUUACGUAUAACAGCUUGGCUAAGGGAAUGCUGACGUGGCAGGAAGAUAUUGGCUCCUGAAGAUUACCUUGUCUGCUAUUUUGUAAUUCUGUUAUGAUCUAAUCCUUUUUCUGUUAUGCCCUGUAUUCAGAAUCAAUAGGAAAAGCUGUUAGCACUAAAGCUCUAUAUAAAGAAAUGUGUAAUGAAAAUCAGCAGACUGAAUAAAAUCAUCUUUUCUUAUCUUUGCUUUGGAGAGACCUAGCUCUCGAAUCUAGGAAUCCUCUGGCCAAUUCUUUGGCCAUAACAGAUUCAAAUUGAAUUCUAACACUAAUAAUAUUCUAUAUUCCCUCUACAAUUGGUAUUUAAAACUUCAACUUUUAUGACUAGUGUGCCCAUCAAAUUAUUAUACUUAAUGAAAUGCAUUCCACUGUGACAGGUGUAUGAUAUCACACCAUUUUUGGAUGAGCAUCCAGGAGGUGAUGAAGUUUUGCUGACGUCAACAGGUAAUCAAUUUCUCUUUGUUGGCUGGUUCAUAUUAUCCGUCUGUAGGUCGGGCAAGCAGAAGUAGUAACUGGAAAGGAGUGGACUAAGAAACUCAG